RNAcentral lists this ribosomal RNA (497 nucleotides) under uncultured bacterium. RNAcentral's name for it is "partial 16S ribosomal RNA". It matches the Rfam family "Bacterial small subunit ribosomal RNA", at positions 28 to 507 of the family's 1533-position model. The record is from RNAcentral.
GAUGAACGCUGGCGGCGUGCCUAAUACAUGCAAGUCGAGCGAACAGAUGAGGAGCUUGCUCCUCUGACGUUAGCGGCGGACGGGUGAGUAACACGUGGAUAACCUACCUAUAAGACUGGGAUAACUUCGGGAAACCGGAGCUAAUACCGGAUAAUAUAUUGAACCGCAUGGUUCAAUAGUGAAAGACGGUUUUGCUGUCACUUAUAGAUGGAUCCGCGCCGCAUUAGCUAGUUGGUAAGGUAACGGCUUACCAAGGCAACGAUGCGAAGCCGACCUGAGAGGGUGAUCGGCCACACUGGAACUGAGACACGGUCCAGACUCCUACGGGAGGCAGCAGUAGGGAAUCUUCCGCAAUGGGCGAAAGCCUGACGGAGCAACGCCGCGUGAGUGAUGAAGGUCUUCGGAUCGUAAAACUCUGUUAUUGGGGAAGAACAAAUGUGUAAGUAACUAUGCACGUCUUGACGGUACCUAAUCAGAAAGCCACGGCUAACUACGUG